AUCUUAUCAAGAGUGGUGGAGGGACUGGCCCUGUGAAACCCAGCAACCUAGUUUUUUAAUUACGAAUUAUGAAUUGUUGUUGAAAUUCUAAAGAAUUUCAGUAAGUAUUAUUUUAAACUUCCGUAAGAAGUUUAUUCCUAAAUUCAUCAUUUAUCAUUCAUAACUCAUAAUUGAAAAAAAGUUGGUGCUAAUUCCUGCAGCUUUUUAGCUGAUAGAUGAGAG
Molecule: non-coding RNA, 222 nt
Filed under: Clostridium sp.
Lineage: Bacteria; Bacillati; Bacillota; Clostridia; Eubacteriales; Clostridiaceae
Description: SAM-I sequence
Rfam family: SAM riboswitch aptamer (S box leader)
About the family: The SAM riboswitch is found upstream of a number of genes which code for proteins involved in methionine or cysteine biosynthesis in Gram-positive bacteria. The SAM riboswitch acts at the level of transcription termination control.
Source: RNAcentral